This 360-nucleotide unclassified non-coding RNA is filed under the name uncultured Ktedonobacteria bacterium. Its description in RNAcentral is "contains 16S-23S intergenic spacer region". The record is from RNAcentral. Lineage: Bacteria; Bacillati; Chloroflexota; Ktedonobacteria.
UCCUAUUUAGUAGGCGGUCUGGCUAGAUAAGGCAACUAGCCACGAGGGUUGCGCUCGUUGCGGGACUUAACCCAACAUCUCACGACACGAGCUGACGACAGCCAUGCAACAUCUGUGACCUCGCUCCGAAGAGGGCGCCUGUUUCCAGGCGUUACGAGGCCAUGUCAAGCCCAGGUAAGGUUCUUCGCGUUGCAUCGAAUUAAACCACACGCUCCGCUGCUUGUGCGGGGCCCCGUCAAUUCCUUUGAGUUUUAACCUUGCGGCCGUACUCCCCAGGCGGAGCACUUAAUGUGUUAACGUCGGCACGGAGGGGCUCGAUACCCCCCACACCUAGUGCUCAUCGUUUACUGCCAGGACUAC